ACUCCUACGGGAGGCAGCAGUGAGGAAUAUUGGUCAAUGGAGGGAACUCUGAACCAGCCAUCCCGCGUGUAGGAAGACGGCCUUAUGGGUUGUAAACUACUUUUAUACAGGAAGAAACGUACCCUCGUGAGGGUGCCUGACGGUACUGUAGGAAUAAGCACCGGCUAACUCCGUGCCAGCAGCCGCGGUAAUACGGAGGGGUGCGAGCGUUAUCCGGAUUUAUUGGGGUUUAAAGGGUCCGUAGGCGGAUUAAUAAGUCAGUGGUGAAAUCCCAUCGCUUAACGAUGGAACUGCCAUUGAUACUGUUAGUCUUGAAUGAGGGUGCAGUGGUUGGAAUGUGUAGUGUAGCGGUGAAAUGCAUAGAUAUUACACAGAACACCGAUUGCGAAGGCAGAUCACUAACCCUAAAUUGACGCUGAGGGACGAAAGCGUGGGGAGCGAACAGGAUUAGAUACCCUGGUAGGUCAGUC
This 470-nucleotide ribosomal RNA is filed under the name uncultured bacterium. RNAcentral's name for it is "bacterial SSU rRNA". It matches the Rfam family "Bacterial small subunit ribosomal RNA", at positions 335 to 800 of the family's 1533-position model. The record is from RNAcentral.